UUUGGUCUAUCCUUUGGAUGAAUCUACAGGGAAAGUGAGGAUUUUGAGAUGAAUCUAUUUCUGAAUUUGGAUUUUAGGAGUUAAAGAGAGGAUUUUGAUGAAUGGAUUUUGAAAGCGUAAUUCUAACAACACCUAGGUGAAGAAAAACAUUGAGAUUAACAUACCUCUCUGAAUAAUCAGAAGACAUGCAACAACAAUCUCCCUUUUUUAAGAACGUCUACAAUCAAGAAUCGGCUUGUUUCACAAAAACCUAGCUUCGUUUGGACAUCAUCUUCGAAUCGACCAUAAAAUAAAUUUUAGAAUUUGGGGAUUUUGGUCUAUCCUUGGGAUGAAUCUACAGGGAAAGUGAGGAUUUUGAGAUGAAUCUAUUUCUGAAUUUGGAUUUUAGGAGUUAAAGAGAGGAUUUUGAGGAAUGGAUUUUGAGAUGAAUUUGGAGAUGGUCUCGUUCUAGCGUGCAGGUG
This 461-nucleotide long non-coding RNA is filed under the name Nicotiana tabacum (common tobacco). RNAcentral describes it as "long non-coding RNA (NTAB_LNC004221)". The record is from RNAcentral. Lineage: Eukaryota; Viridiplantae; Streptophyta; Magnoliopsida; Solanales; Solanaceae.